Molecule: ribosomal RNA, 253 nt
Filed under: uncultured prokaryote
Description: partial 16S ribosomal RNA
Rfam family: Bacterial small subunit ribosomal RNA
Source: RNAcentral
UACGGGGGGGGCAAGCGUUGUUCGGAAUUACUGGGCGUAAAGGGUUUGUAGGUGGUCUGCUAAGUCAGACGUGAAAUCCCUCAGCUUAACUGGGGAACUGCGUCCGAUACUGGUGGGCUUGAAUCCGGGAGAGGGAUGUGGAAUUCCAGGUGUAGCGGUGAAAUGCGUAGAUAUCUGGAGGAACACCGGUGGCGAAGGCGGCAUCCUGGACCGGUAUUGACGCUGAGGCGCGAAAGCUAGGGGAGCAAACGGG